Molecule: ribosomal RNA, 484 nt
Filed under: uncultured bacterium
Lineage: Bacteria
Description: partial 16S ribosomal RNA
Rfam family: Bacterial small subunit ribosomal RNA
Source: RNAcentral
AUUGAACGCUGGCGGCAGGCCUAGCACAUGCAAGUCGAGCGGAUGAAGGGAGCUUGCUCCUGGAUUCAGCGGCGGACGGGUGAGUAAUGCCUAGGAAUCUGCCUGGUAGUGGGGGAUAUCGUCCGGAAACGGGCGCUAAUACCGCAUACGUCCUGAGGGAGAAAGUGGGGGAUCUUCGGACCUCACGCUAUCAGAUGAGCCUAGGUCGGAUUAGCUAGUUGGUGGGGUAAAGGCCUACCAAGGCGACGAUCCGUAACUGGUCUGAGAGGAUGAUCAGUCACACUGGAACUGAGACACGGUCCAGACUCCUACGGGAGGCAGCAGUGGGGAAUAUUGGACAAUGGGCGAAAGCCUGAUCCAGCCAUGCCGCGUGUGUGAAGAAGGUCUUCGGAUUGUAAAGCACUUUAAGUUGGGAGGAAGGGCAGUAAGUUAAUACCUUGCUGUUUUGACGUUACCAACAGAAUAAGCACCGGCUAACUUCGUG